This 292-nucleotide unclassified non-coding RNA is filed under the name Hevea brasiliensis (rubber tree). Lineage: Eukaryota; Viridiplantae; Streptophyta; Magnoliopsida; Malpighiales; Euphorbiaceae. The record is from RNAcentral.
AGCAGUUUGACAUACGGGGAACUGUUGAUGAGUUCCGGCAAGAGAUUAACAUGUAUGCCUUUUGGAAGCCAGGGAUGGAUAUCUAUGUUUCUCAUGUACGGAGGAAGCAACUGCCCACCUUUGUUUUUCCUGAUGGACACAAGCGGGCCAAGCCAUCCAGGCAUGAAGGACAGCAAGCUGAUGUAGUUUGUGCUGAUAUGCCACAAGAUCAAUCUGGGAUCACUGAGAAGGGGAAAAAAAGGAAAAGUGAUCAUGAAGAAGAAGAGACGGAAAAGAAACAAGCCUUUAUCAG